RNAcentral lists this ribosomal RNA (379 nucleotides) under uncultured bacterium. RNAcentral describes it as "bacterial SSU rRNA". It matches the Rfam family "Bacterial small subunit ribosomal RNA", at positions 30 to 410 of the family's 1533-position model. The record is from RNAcentral.
AUUGAACGCUGGCGGCAUGCCUUACACAUGCAAGUCGAACGGCAGCGGACCUUCGGGUGCCGGCGAGUGGCGAACGGGUGAGUAAUAUAUCGGAACGUACCUUUCAGUGGGGGAUAACGUAGCGAAAGUUACGCUAAUACCGCAUAUUCUGUGAGCAGGAAAGCAGGGGAUCGCAAGACCUUGCGCUGAUUGAGCGGCCGAUAUCAGAUUAGCUAGUUGGUGAGGUAAAGGCUCACCAAGGCGACGAUCUGUAGCGGGUCUGAGAGGAUGAUCCGCCACACUGGAACUGAGACACGGUCCAGACUCCUACGGGAGGCAGCAGUGGGGAAUUUUGGACAAUGGGCGCAAGCCUGAUCCACGCCAUGCCGCGUGAGUGAAG